GUCUACAGCCACGCCACCCUGAACACGCCCGAUCCCAUCUGAUCUCGGAAGCUAAGCAGGGUCAGGCCCGGUUAGUACUCGGAUGAGAGACCACCUAGGAAGACUGGGAGCUGUGGACA
Molecule: ribosomal RNA, 119 nt
Filed under: Pteropus alecto (black flying fox)
Lineage: Eukaryota; Metazoa; Chordata; Mammalia; Chiroptera; Pteropodidae
Source: RNAcentral